Molecule: small RNA, 127 nt
Filed under: Marmota monax (woodchuck)
Lineage: Eukaryota; Metazoa; Chordata; Mammalia; Rodentia; Sciuridae
Source: RNAcentral
GCUGGGCGUGGUGAUGUGUGCCUGUAGUCCCAGCAGCUCAGAAGGCUGAGGCCGGAGGAUCACAAAUUUGAGGCCAGCCUCAGCAACUUAGCGAGGCUCUAAGAAACUUAGUGAGAUCCUGUCUCUA